Non-coding RNA from Paramormyrops kingsleyae, 798 nucleotides. NCBI's taxonomy places the organism in Eukaryota, Metazoa, Chordata, Actinopteri, Osteoglossiformes, Mormyridae. The record is from RefSeq and is a predicted model, not a curated record.
AACCCCCAAACACAGAAGUGGGACGUCAUCUUUACCUCCAGCGAUAGAGGGCAGUGUUGCCAUUGAUGGCUUAUAAAAGUUAACAAGGAAGUGCAGUGGCGCUGUUUGUGAAUGUUCGCGCACUUUAUAUGCACUUAUACACGUUAUAAGCCUCUGGCUGGUGUGCGAAAGGAGCAUACAUAUAUUAAAUUGCAUGUUUUAAGGCUUUCUCCUACCUCUCAGCUCCUGGCUGAUAAAGGGCACAAGGAGCCAGGAGUUGCAAGGAACCUACGUGUUGCCAUGCUGUGGGUGCAGUCCAAUGAAAAACAUGUGACUGCACCGCAGUUUCUAGCUAUGGAUGUGCAGGACUUCCAGAAAGCUGUUGACAAACUUAAAACAGAAUGAUGACCUGGAUGACCUCGGUCCCUUUCUUUUUGUGUUUCAGUACAAAGAAGAUAUGGAACACUUUCUUAAAAACUGUGUUGACACCUCUGGGUCAACACUAUAUGUUUAUUGCCUUAGAGAUGAGUCACAGUGCCCAUCACUAGUCUUCAUUUAAAGUUAUUUUUAUUAAUUAUUCUAUUAUUGUAAUAAAAUAGUUCAAAGUAGACUGAGCCAGUUUUGUUUGUUGGUUUCCUAAGUUUAUUAUGUGGUUGUAAUGAGCAAUCACAUAUUGUUAUACGUUUUAUUCUUAUUUUUUGAAUUCCACUCUUUUUUUAGACACUACAUUUUUUUGCAGAAAAGCAUCUCUAGUUAUUUAUGCAAUUGUUUAUAUUUAUAUGUUUAUAUAAUAAUAAAGCUGAUACUUUUCCAACCCUA